UAGAGUUUGAUCAUGGCUCAGGAUGAACGCUAGCGACAGGCUUAACACAUGCAAGUCGAGGGGCAGCGGGGGUGAUGGCUUGCCAUCACCUGCCGGCGACCGGCGCACGGGUGAGUAACACGUAUGCAACCUGCCCGCCACAGGGGGAUAAGCGGAAGAAAUUCCAUCUAAUACCGCGUGACGCGGCGUCGGGGCAUCCCGGUGCCGCCAAAGGGAUUACCGGUGGCGGAUGGGCAUGCGGCGCAUUAGCUAGUCGGCGGGGUAACGGCCCACCGAGGCGACGAUGCGUAGGGGUUCUGAGAGGAAGGUCCCCCACACUGGUACUGAGACACGGACCAGACUCCUACGGGAGGCAGCAGUGAGGAAUAUUGGUCAAUGGGCGGGAGCCUGAACCAGCCAAGUCGCGUGAGGGAUGACGGUCCUACGGAUUGUAAACCUCUUUUGCCGGGGAGCAAGCGUGCGUUCGUGAACGCGCGUCGAGAGUACCCGGAGAAAAAGCAUCGGCUAACUCCGUGCCAGCAGCCGCGGUAAUACGGAGGAUGCGAGCGUUAUCCGGAUUUAUUGGGUUUAAAGGGUGCGUAGGCGGGAUGCCAAGUCAGCGGUAAAAAAGCGGUGCUCAACGCCGUCGAGCCGUUGAAACUGGCGUUCUUGAGUGGGCGAGAAGUAUGCGGAAUGCGUGGUGUAGCGGUGAAAUGCAUAGAUAUCACGCAGAACUCCGAUUGCGAAGGCAGCAUACCGGCGCCCUACUGACGCUGAGGCACGAAAGCGUGGGUAUCGAACAGGAUUAGAUACCCUGGUAGUCCACGCAGUAAACGAUGAAUGCUAACUGUCCGGUG
This 836-nucleotide ribosomal RNA is filed under the name uncultured bacterium. Its description in RNAcentral is "bacterial SSU rRNA". It matches the Rfam family "Bacterial small subunit ribosomal RNA", at positions 1 to 829 of the family's 1533-position model. The record is from RNAcentral.